UACGUAGGGGGCGAGCGUUGUCCGGAGUUACUGGGCGUAAAGGGCAUGCAGGCGGUCGGACGCGUUUCGGGUGACAGCGGGUGGCUUAACUACCCGAGUGGUCGAAAGACGGUUUGACUUGAGGACGCGAGAGGGACACGGAAUUCCGGGUGGAGUGGUGAAAUGCGUAGAUAUCUGGAGGAACACCGGUGGCGAAGGCGGCAUCCUGGACCGACACUGACGCUGAGGAGCGAAAGCCAGGGGAGCAAACGGG
RNAcentral lists this ribosomal RNA (253 nucleotides) under uncultured bacterium. Its description in RNAcentral is "partial 16S ribosomal RNA". It matches the Rfam family "Bacterial small subunit ribosomal RNA", at positions 524 to 776 of the family's 1533-position model. The record is from RNAcentral.